UACGUAGGGUGCAAGCGUUGUCCGGAAUUAUUGGGCGUAAAGAGCUCGUAGGCGGUUUGUCGCGUCUGCUGUGAAAACUCGGGGCUUAACUCCGGGCCUGCAGUGGGUACGGGCAGACUAGAGUGCGAUAGGGGAGACUGGAAUUCCUGGUGUAGCGGUGAAAUGCGCAGAUAUCAGGAGGAACACCGGUGGCGAAGGCGGGUCUCUGGGCAGUAACUGACGCUGAGGAGCGAAAGCGUGGGGAGCGAACAGG
Molecule: ribosomal RNA, 253 nt
Filed under: uncultured bacterium
Lineage: Bacteria
Description: partial 16S ribosomal RNA
Rfam family: Bacterial small subunit ribosomal RNA
Source: RNAcentral